GCUCCUAUCGUCUAGUCCGGCCUAGGACGUCGCGUUCUCAUCGCGAAAACUCGGGUUCGAAUCCCGAUGGGAGCA
Molecule: transfer RNA, 75 nt
Filed under: bacterium
Lineage: Bacteria
Description: tRNA-Glu
Rfam family: tRNA
About the family: Transfer RNA (tRNA) molecules are approximately 80 nucleotides in length. Their secondary structure includes four short double-helical elements and three loops (D, anti-codon, and T loops).
Source: RNAcentral